This 406-nucleotide ribosomal RNA is filed under the name uncultured bacterium. RNAcentral describes it as "partial 16S ribosomal RNA". It matches the Rfam family "Bacterial small subunit ribosomal RNA", at positions 30 to 526 of the family's 1533-position model. The record is from RNAcentral.
AUUGAACGCUGGCGGCAGGCCUAACACAUGCAAGUCGAACGAGUGGCGGACGGGUGAGUAAUGUCUGGGAAACUGCCUGAUGGAGGGGGAUAACUACUGGAAACGGUAGCUAAUACCGCAUACCAUCGGAUGUGCCCAGAUGGGAGUAGCUAGUAGGUGGGGUAAAGGCUCACCUAGGCGACGAUCCCUAGCUGGUCUGAGAGGAUGACCUGCCACAAUGGAACUGUGACACGGUCCAGAGUCCUACGGGAGGAAGCGGUGGGGAAUAUUGCACAAUGGGCGCGAGCCUGAUGCAGCCAUGCCGCGUGUAUUAAGAAGGCCUUCGGGUUGUAAAGUACUUUCAGCGGGGAGGCGUUACCCGCAGAAGAAGCACCGGCUAACUCCGUGCCAGCAGCCGCGGUAAUUC